AGCUUUGCGCAGUGGCAGUAUUGUAGCCAAUGAGGUUUAUCCGAGAUGCAAUUAUUGCUAAUUGAAAACUUUUCCCAAAAAUAUGGUCUUUGUAGUUAAUUUGGGUAUUUAUAAUAGUCAAAAUGAUUUAUUUUCUCACAAAAGA
Dromiciops gliroides (monito del monte) is the source of this 145-nucleotide small nuclear RNA. RefSeq annotates it as U4 spliceosomal RNA. The record is from RefSeq and is a predicted model, not a curated record. NCBI's taxonomy places the organism in Eukaryota, Metazoa, Chordata, Mammalia, Microbiotheria, Microbiotheriidae. The transcript has a single exon.